UACGGGGGGGGCAAGCGUUGUUCGGAAUUAUUGGGCGUAAAGCGCACGUAGGCGGUUUGUUAUGUCGGAUGUGAAAGCCCUUGGCUUAACUGAGGAAGUGCAUUCGAAACUGGCAGGCUAGAGUACUAAAGAGGGUCGCGGAAUUCCCGGUGUAGAGGUGAAAUUCGUAGAUAUCGGGAGGAACACCGGUGGCGAAGGCGGCGACCUGGGUAGAUACUGACGCUGAGGUGCGAAAGCGUGGGGAGCAAACAGG
RNAcentral lists this ribosomal RNA (253 nucleotides) under uncultured bacterium. RNAcentral describes it as "partial 16S ribosomal RNA". It matches the Rfam family "Bacterial small subunit ribosomal RNA", at positions 524 to 776 of the family's 1533-position model. The record is from RNAcentral.